Molecule: transfer RNA, 77 nt
Filed under: Bacteroidota bacterium
Lineage: Bacteria; Pseudomonadati; Bacteroidota
Description: Bacteroidetes bacterium tRNA-Arg
Rfam family: tRNA
About the family: Transfer RNA (tRNA) molecules are approximately 80 nucleotides in length.
Source: RNAcentral
GGUUCCAUAGCUCAACCGGAUAGAGCAACGGUUUUCUAAACCGUAGGUUCCAGGUUCGAGUCCUGGUGGAAUCACAA